UGGAUUAUCUGCCCUAAGGUGGGGGAUAACCCUGGGAAACUCGGGCUAAUACCGCAUAUGACCGUAAGGUCAAAGGGGGGUCGCAAGAUCUCUCGCCUUUGGAGGAGUCCGCGUCCGAUUAGCUAGUUGGUAGGGUAAUGGCCUACCAAGGCGACGAUCGGUAGCCGGCCUGAGAGGGUGAUCGGCCACACUGGAACUGAGACACGGUCCAGACUCCUACGGGAGGCAG
RNAcentral lists this ribosomal RNA (229 nucleotides) under uncultured bacterium. Its description in RNAcentral is "partial 16S ribosomal RNA". It matches the Rfam family "Bacterial small subunit ribosomal RNA", at positions 118 to 351 of the family's 1533-position model. The record is from RNAcentral.